Molecule: non-coding RNA, 726 nt
Organism: Chlorocebus sabaeus (green monkey)
Lineage: Eukaryota; Metazoa; Chordata; Mammalia; Primates; Cercopithecidae
Source: RefSeq, a predicted model, not a curated record
AAACCUACAAAUGUAAAGAAUGUGACAAAGCCUAUAACUUAUCCUCAACCCUUACUAAACAUAGGAGAAUUCAUACCGGAGAGAAACCCUUCACAUGUGAAGAAUGUGUCAAAGCCUUCAAUUGGUCUUCAUCCUUACUAACAUAAGAUAAUUCAUACUGGAAAAUUCUACAAAUUAUGAACAAUGUGGCAUCGGCCCUCAGCCCUUACUGUACACACAAGCGAAUUCACACUGAGUCAAGGAAACUUAUUUUGAACUAUUUAUAACCGUUAAUAAUUGAGUAAGGUAUACUCCUAUGAAGAAAAUUUGGGCACAUUUAUCUUUUUCUCUCUGCCUGGCUUCUCUAGAACUUCAAAACUAGUUGUGAGUAUGCUUAACUUAUGACAAUAUAGUUGUUUGCAUCAGUGCAAUAAGAAUUCAUUUUUCUUUUUCAACAGGAUACAACUGGAGAAACUGGUUUUUUCACCAAGGCUUUGACUGGAAGGGUACAUUUCCCUUUAAGGAGUUAAGCUUGACUUGUAGAGACGAUAAAAGCCUCUUGGAAAAAUGGGCCUUAUACUUUGUUACACAGUCCCCAUACAAGGUUCCUAACCUGCAGUGAGUAAAGAAUGUCACUUUCCAACAGGCCUAGGAACCACAUGCUCUUGGGACCUGAAGAAGAGAGGAGUUUACCCAAGUCACAGGUAUUUGAGAAUAUAAACCCAUGGUUGGGCUUAGCUUUGGAAA